AGAGUUUGAUCAUGGCUCAGGAUGAACGCUAGCUACAGGCUUAACACAUGCAAGUCGAGGGGAAACGACAUCGAAAGCUUGCUUUUGAUGGGCGUCGACCGGCGCACGGGUGAGUAACGCGUAUCCAACCUGCCCAUCACUUGGGGAUAACCUUGCGAAAGUAAGACUAAUACCCAAUGACGUCUCUAGAAGACAUCUGAAAAGAGAUUAAAGAUUUAUCGGUGAUGGAUGGGGAUGCGUCUGAUUAGCUUGGUUGGCGGGUAACGGCCCACCAAGGCGACGAUCAGUAGGGGUUCUGAGAGGAAGGUCCCCCANAUUGGAACUGAGACACGGUCCAAACGUCCUACGGGAGGCA
Molecule: ribosomal RNA, 355 nt
Filed under: uncultured bacterium
Lineage: Bacteria
Description: bacterial SSU rRNA
Rfam family: Bacterial small subunit ribosomal RNA
Source: RNAcentral